This 253-nucleotide ribosomal RNA is filed under the name uncultured bacterium. RNAcentral's name for it is "partial 16S ribosomal RNA". It matches the Rfam family "Bacterial small subunit ribosomal RNA", at positions 524 to 776 of the family's 1533-position model. The record is from RNAcentral.
UACGGGGGGGGCAAGCGUUGUUCGGAAUUACUGGGCUUAAAGAGUUCGUAGGCGGCAUGAAAAGUAGGGUGUGAAAGCCCUCGGCUCAACCGAGGAAUUGCGCUCUAAACUGUCGUGCUCGAGGAAUCUAGAGGUGAGCGGAACUGAUGGUGGAGCGGUGAAAUGCGUUGAUAUCAUCAGGAACACCGGAGGCGAAGGCGGCUCACUGGGGAUUGUCUGACGCUGAGGAACGAAAGCCAGGGGAGCGAACGGG